Molecule: non-coding RNA, 309 nt
Organism: Pelobates cultripes (western spadefoot toad)
Lineage: Eukaryota; Metazoa; Chordata; Amphibia; Anura; Pelobatidae
Source: the annotation of a GenBank genome assembly
UCAGCCCCUGACGAAGGUGCACUACGCUGGCACCGAAACGCGCGUCGGGUUGAGGGUUCAUUCCUUCACUUUUUGUUUUCACCUCACUGGGCACUUUAUUAUUUCACCACUAUGUGCAGGUAGCCAACAUUCUAAGUAUGGCUCUGCACUUUAGCACGCUUUUAGUAUAACACUAUUUUUUCCUUUUCCUCCUGUCUUAUGUCUACCUAGCCUUGGUGGGACCUUUACAUUUAUUAUUGGAAACAGAGGGUUAUUUUGAUAAUAAUCUAUUCGUAGAUUUUCUGGGAUCGCAAAGAUUUAAUGGGUAGC